UUUGGCAUUAAAAUUAGAAAGAUCAUAUCAUAAGGAACAUGUAUACUGAGUUUCAAGUUGAUUGGAAUUCAACUUCAUCAAAAACUACCUCAACCAAAAACUAUAACCUGAAGCAGGCCAGACUAACAGAUGAACAAACCAACAGACGAAGGGACGCACAGAGAAGAAAAUAUAAUGCCCAUAAAUGGGGCAUAUAGAUAUCUUUGCAAAUAAAUGGUGCUACGAUUUCAAUUUUGUGUUUUUAUAAAGUUCUGACCCUUUGUGGCCUUACUUCUUUGACUUGCAUUGAACAUGCAAUGUGUAAUCUAAAUCAUUAAACGAGAUUUAUCUCAGAACUCCUUAAUACUUCAAAGCCAUGGCUUUUUAAGUUUUUUUUGGAUUUUCAUAUUUUUAUUUUCAAAUGAAUGCUUAAUCUUU
RNAcentral lists this long non-coding RNA (417 nucleotides) under Mytilus galloprovincialis (Mediterranean mussel). Lineage: Eukaryota; Metazoa; Mollusca; Bivalvia; Mytilida; Mytilidae. The record is from RNAcentral.